This 262-nucleotide ribosomal RNA is filed under the name Ignavibacteria bacterium GWC2_36_12. RNAcentral's name for it is "partial 23S ribosomal RNA". It matches the Rfam family "Bacterial large subunit ribosomal RNA", at positions 2682 to 2925 of the family's 2925-position model. The record is from RNAcentral. Lineage: Bacteria; Pseudomonadati; Ignavibacteriota; Ignavibacteria.
UACGAGAGGACCGAAGCGAACGUACCUCUAGUGUACCAAUUGUCGCGCCAGCGGCAUCGUUGGGUAGCUAUGUACGGUUGUGAUAAGCGCUGAAAGCAUCUAAGCGCGAAGCACGCUUCAAGAUGAGGUAUCCCUCCUGACGCAAGUCGGGACUAAAGACUCCUCGGAGAUGACGAGGUUGAUAGGCUGCAGGUACAAGCUUUGUAAAAAGUUUAGCCGAGCAGUACUAAUAAGUCGUGAGGCUUAACCAUAUUUUUUAUUA